UACGGAGGGUGCAAGCGUUAUCCGGAUUCACUGGGUUUAAAGGGUACGUAGGUGGGUUUGUAAGUCAGUGGUGAAAUCUCCAAGCUUAACUUGGAAACUGCCGUUGAUACUAUAAAUCUUGAAUGUUGUGGAGGUGAGCGGAAUAUGUCAUGUAGCGGUGAAAUGCUUAGAUAUGACAUAGAACACCAAUUGCGAAGGCAGCUCACUACACAAAGAUUGACACUGAGGCACGAAAGCGUGGGGAUCAAACAGG
Molecule: ribosomal RNA, 253 nt
Filed under: uncultured bacterium
Lineage: Bacteria
Description: partial 16S ribosomal RNA
Rfam family: Bacterial small subunit ribosomal RNA
Source: RNAcentral